This 128-nucleotide non-coding RNA is filed under the name Skermanella aerolata. RNAcentral's name for it is "skipping-rope RNA". It matches the Rfam family "skipping-rope RNA". From Rfam's summary of the family: Firmicutes, Fusobacteria, AlphaProteobacteria, Spirochaetes. Downstream gene Lineage: Bacteria; Pseudomonadati; Pseudomonadota; Alphaproteobacteria; Rhodospirillales; Azospirillaceae. The record is from Rfam by way of RNAcentral.
GAAACCUGAGGUGAGAACAGCCUCCUCACACACGGCCCUGCCGCUGAGCGCUCGUUGAGUGGCAGGCAGUAGAGUAUCCUCCCACAAAGAGGUGAAGAGAUCCGGGGGUGGGCAGCCCGGCAGGUACC